This 5048-nucleotide long non-coding RNA is filed under the name Bos grunniens (domestic yak). RNAcentral's name for it is "lncRNA (ENSBGRG00000015326.1)". The record is from RNAcentral. Lineage: Eukaryota; Metazoa; Chordata; Mammalia; Artiodactyla; Bovidae.
AGAAAGUUAGAUCAUAAGUUCUAAGGUGAGAGCAAUGACAACCAUAUAUAUCAUAUUAGUUCCUUGUUACAGAACUUUUUUAUAUUUUUCUGUUUUAGUAACUGGAAUUCCCUGGUAGCUCAGCUGGUAAAGAAUCCUGCCACAAUGCAGAAGACCCUGGUUUGAUUCCUGGGUCAGGAAGAUCCACUGGAGAAAGGACAAGCUACCAACUCCAGUGUUCUAGGUGUCCUAGAUUUAAAGAAGGAAGAUCAGAGGGAUGAUCGUCUGGAGGUGAUCACUGAUGAUGACAAAGAGGCUGAGGAAGCAGGGGAUGGCAGAGAUGGCUUCCAUGAAUGGUGAAUCCAUUGCUGUUUGGAGGAGUGAAGUGGUAUAAUUUUUUUUAAAGGUAUUUAAACUAAUAACCCUGUUUUUUUUAUUUACCACAAGUAUUUUUAAAAAACUCCACCAUGGUCAAACUGAUGUCUCUAUAGAGGAAAGGGCCUGACAAAGUGAGGCAAGAUUGUAUUGAAAAAUAUUUCUUUCAUUUGCAGAAAAACUUGCCAUAUAUGUAUUUUUUUUUUCUAUGAGGUCAUAUUUUUCUCCGGUUUUAAGCCUCACAUAUAAAGAGUCAACCCACAUACCUAUGCCAUUGAGAAAGAAAAAGGACAAUGAGAAACAUGGAGAAACCUUGAGAAAGAAAAAUCAUUAGAUUUACUGAUAGACAUUAAAGACCAGUACAUUAAGAAUUACUCACUUCAAAAACCACUACAAUAUUGUAAAGUAAUUAGCCUCCAAUUAAAUAAAUUAAUUAAAGAAAAUUACUCACUUAAAUUGUUCAGUAAGUAACAAAAGGGGCCAAAGUGCUUGGUUAAAAAAAAAGAUGAUUAUUCCAAACAGCAAACCCAUUUGUGUUCAAGCAAAUAGCUGCUCCUUUUUCAUUUCAUAGACUUCCCUGAUAGCUCAGUUGGUGAAGAAUCUGCCUGCAAUGCUGGAGACCCCAGUUCAAUUCCUGGGUCAGGAGAUCUGCUGGAGAUGGGAUAGGCUACCCAGUUUCCAUUUGGCUCCCCAGGAACCAUCAGUGGAACAAGUUACUGGGAAUGUGUUGAGUCUCCUUAACUGGGGAGAGGACCCAAGGAUGUUACCAUUCAUGUUGAAGAGUGUUACCCCCGUGGAGAGCACAGACCUUAGAAGAGAUAAGAGCUCCGAAGAGCCGACAGAAAGUCCUUGUCGCAAACGUGAGAAGGAAAAUCAGAACAAGUGGAAUAUUCUAGAUUGUAAAGAAGGUAACACUUCAGUGACCUCGAGAGAGCACCUUUUGGAGCAUGGAUUAGGAUGGUAUGAGGUCAGGAUUGACUGGACAAAGAUGGAUGAGCAAUGAUUAUCUGUAAAGUCUUACCAAUUAGGCCUGCAAAGGAAACAAAUACAGGUGUGGUCCAACUGGAGGAGUAAGAAAACACGGAUGGCAUUUGAAAAGACCCUGAUGCUGGGAAGGAUUGAAGGCAGGAGGAGAAGGGGACGACAGAGGAUGAGAUGGCUGGAUGGCAUCACCGACUCCAUGGACAAGAAUUUGGGUGAAAUCUGGGAGUUGGUGAUGGACAGGGAGGCCUGGCGUCGCAAAGAGUCGGACACGACUGAGCGACUGAACUGAACUGAACUGAUGGCAUAGGAAAGCAUGUUCCACAUUUUGUCAGUGCUGUCUCUGUUAGUAAUUAUAUUACAGUCCAUUUGCAAUACAUGUAUUUUUAAAUUCAGAAGAGUGAAUGAACUCUUUAAUACCAGACUGCAAACUCUUCAGUACUGUUUGGCCCCUAGAUAAAUACAGAACUUGAAAGUAAGGGUUUAGAAAAUCUUAUAGAUAUUUAACAGAGUAAUUUUAUGGUUACUGAUUCUAAUAAUAAAACAAGGGGUUGUGUUUUGUAUGUCUUUUUUUUUUUAAUUUCAUUUUUCUAGUAGUUCAACUCACUUUAUUUAACACAGUAUCGAUUCUGCAACAGGAUUAAAAAAAACUAAACUCAAUUCUUUACCAUAAAUUGUUGAGAAAUCUAAGUUAGAUUCCAAUGAAAUAGUUGCACAUUGGAUAAAGCAGGGGGUCAGCAAACUACAAACUGCAAGUCUGAUCCAUGGGGUCUAGGAUUUUGGGGGAUGCCCACAAACAAAAUCUCUUUUUACAUGUGGAUGUUUACAGCUAAUUUGAUAAUCAGAAAUACUAACCUUAAAUGCCAACUAAGCAAAAUGUUAUUAUCCUCCCCCCAAAAUUCCCUUCUUCUCAUUGGUAGAUUUAUAUUAUUAAAAAAUAUAUACUUGAUUUUUAUUAAAUUUCUGAAUUUCAGCAACACAAAUUUGUGAAAAUUUUCUCCCUUAUUAUAUAUGUACAUAAACGAUGCCUUGAUUUUUUUUUUUUUUUUCCCUUGGCUGGCUCAGAAUUCCUAAAAUAUUUAAAAUCUGAUCCUUUGAAGGAAGUGUCCGCCACUGAGAUAAAGAUGUUUUUCAACUCAUAAGAGUUCUUAACAAUAUAAAAAUUGUAUAUUCUUCAAACUCAUACAUACAUGUUUUACUUACAGACAUAGUAAUAUAAUUCAAAUUCAGAUUUUAUUGUAAAAAAUCCCAAGUUUUCUAAAUUUAAUGCAUUUUUCAUUAGGCAUUGUGUUUUCAUGUAUUUAUCUACACAUUUGUAUCAUUAUAAUAAUUCUUUUUUUAAAAAAUAGUGGAGACUAUCAAAUUAAACUAGAAGAUUCCCUUCAGUGUCUUUCUAAACACAAUCCUAGUCACUAGAAAAAAACUGAAACUUUUCUCUUUUCAGUUCUGCUGGUGGUUACUGCCAUAUUCCUAAACUACAUUCUUCUUUACAUUUUAUCAGUUUUAGAUAUUACUUCUUUUUUUUUAAGUGUAUAAAUGUAUCUUUUAUUAUUCAGUAGACAGUUUUUUUUCAGUCUGGGAUAUUGUAAAUCAUAUCUUCAAAAAGAGGGCUACAACAAUGUUCCCUUCCAUAUAAGAGGGGGAUUUCAGCUUAUUUACCACUACCUCCUCUCACCCUCUCUCUUUUUAAGAGAAAUUGUUAUUUUAGUUUUUCUAUUGAUUUCAUUAAAUACUUUUAAAUAAUCUAUAUAAAUGUUUAGUUUUUCUUUUCUUAGCAACUUUAGACAUCUCUUGAUGCCCCAACUUGUUAAAACAUCUGUUUUUCCCUACGUAUCUCAUUCUUAAUUCUUUUUCUCAUCCUCUGUCAGCUGUACCCUGACAUAGGCAAAACUGAGAAUAUUUGCAUUCAGAUCAGUGCAUAUAUUAAAUCUUUAUUUAGCUAGUUUUAAGAUCUGAAAUUAGAUAUAUGGCCUUUCCUUUCUCUCCAUAUCCCUGGUAUAGUAAUUGCUUCAAGGACAGGCUUAAAAUUGGAUUAGUCCACUAAGAUGCAAUUCCAGGACUUUACAGAAACAUUUUUCCCAAUAGUCACAGACCUCUCCUUCAAAAUCUUCUAUUAGAUGUUUAUAGAACCAUAUGGAUCUAGCCUUUAUUUCUCAUGAUUUUUGUCUCACAUUGUCACUUUGCCUUUUUAUUGUAUAUUCUGGGAAAUUUCCUGUACUUUUUUUUUCCAGCUAAUUAAUAAUGAUCUUUUGCUCAGGCAAUAAUUACCUGAAAACCUGAAAACCUUAGUCUUAAUUUCUAAGAACCAUUUCUUAUUCUCUGAAGGCUCUUUUCUCUUUUCUCUUCUUAUUUUAUAGUUUGCUUAUACAUGUUCUCAAAUUCCUUAAGGGAUUAGAAUUAUUUAAAGUUAUUUCCUUAUUUUUUUAAAGAAAGUUUUUUAUUAUGUUUAUUAUUUUUGUUUCCCCCUCAGGGUCAGUUUUCCUUGUUUGUAUUGCUGUUUAUCUUGCAUAGUUCUCGUGUAACACAAGUGUCUGGUGUCCUUGGAGUCUGGACUGUGGCCAUGUCUUUGUGGUGCCUUCUACCAUCUUCUUGAUUAAUGGGUCAGUGUAGGUAGGAUUUGCAGAGAUGAUGCAGAGGCUUUGUGAGACAAGGGAAGAUUGCCUUGUCUCUCCACAAAGUGAGUCCUCUUUUAAAGUAUCCACAGGUCAGAGGGCAUUUCUGAGACAAUGGGAGCAAAGAAAUACUUCAGUCUAAUGUCACAUGCACAGUGGGCUUCAUUUGGAUGCUUUCCAGCAAGAAGAUGAUGUCGGAAAAUAGGAAAGUGUAAUAAACAUCCUAAUUGCCUAAACAUAAUGCCAACUCAGACAGAUUGACUUUUUCCGUAGAUUUAUGACUUUGAUCAGAGUGGCAUGUGAGAUGCAAUGAAAUAGCUGGAAUCCACAGAUGAUCUCCAUAUACUGAUAGCAUUGGGACACUGACUACUCCAGAUACCCUAACCCAAACCUAAUAAGAAGGUCAGUAUACUCAGACUUUAAUACAACAUGACCCUUCUCAAUAAAAGAAAGAUGGGCCACUCCAGACACAAUGGCAUACUUUCCAGAAACCUUGAGUUUGCUACCCAUACUGUCCUGGACAUUGUUAUUGGGGAAGAUGUUGGAUGGAGACCAUUAGGAGCCUUCAUGUACCACCUUUUAUUAAUAUUUCCUCUUCUCAUGUAUAAAAUUUUUAGAAACAUUUCUCCAAGAUUCAGCUUGGCAGGGAUUUCAUGUGUUUAUUUAUGUCAGUAUACAUUUAAACAUUUCAGUGAUCAUGACAAAACCAUGCCAGUUUAGAAAUUUUGGCAAGACAGAAGGUCCAUAAUAGUUCCCCCAAAUUAUAUACAUUUAUAGGGUGUGUUUAAUCUUUCUUAAAUUAAUUUGACAAUUUCUACCUGUAUGCAAGUUUUUUAAUGUCUGUCAUGAUUUUGAUGUUACCUCUUAUUCUUCUCAGUCUGCAAUCAAGGCUACUACAGUAAAAUGUGCUAAAACCUGUUUUAGUUGUUGAGUAAACAUUACUCACCAAAUAUUAUACUGAAAGAACAAACUGGUUAAUUGUAUUACCAAUAAAGUACAUAAACAAGUAAAUAUAUUAAUGUUAUAUUUGUAACAACUAAGAAAUAGUCUAUAAAAAUAAUAACUAUAAAAGUCUAAUGACUGGCCUGAUUAAGGUAGCUA